Molecule: long non-coding RNA, 819 nt
Organism: Phyllostomus discolor (pale spear-nosed bat)
Lineage: Eukaryota; Metazoa; Chordata; Mammalia; Chiroptera; Phyllostomidae
Exons: 2
Source: RefSeq, a predicted model, not a curated record
ACUAUUGUGCUUGAGUGGAGUAGAGCUGAUAUGGGGGUUGGGCCUUCUAUGGCGGAGGGAAGUCAGGGGUGUAGCCCAAAUUGGGCUGAUUUGCCUACUUCUGCGAGUAGUAAACCUGCUAAGGGAAGAGAGGGGGUCAGUGGAUUAAGAAGGAAGAUCUGUUGAAGUUCUCAUGUGUUUGAGUUAAUAAGGAAUCAUGCUAUGGUUAGGAUGAAGCCGAUAUCUCCGAUGCGGUUGUAGAGGAUUGCUUGUAGAGCUGCUGUGUUGGCGUCUGUUUGGCCGUAUAAUCAACCGAUGAGUAGGAAGGAUAUAAUGCCUACCCCUUCUCAGCCAAUGGAUAAUUGGAAAAGGUUGUUAGCCGUUACUAGGAUUAGUAUUGUGAUUAGGAACAUUAAGAUGUACUUAAAGAAUCGAUUGAUAUUUGGGUCUGUGUGUAUGUAUCAUAUUGAGAACUCUAGGAUAGACCAAGUCACGAAUAGUGCUACUGGUAUAAACAGUAUUGAAAAGAAGUCUAGUUUGAAACUAAGGAAUAAUUUAAAGGUGUGUAGAGUGAUCCAGUGUCAGUUGGAAAUAGUUAUCUCCUGUCCGGAGUAAAUGAAUAUGAUUGCGGGAAUUAUAAAGAGAAAGAUACGACAAUGGGGAGUCCUAUUAUCAUAGGGGUAAUGAAAGAGGCGAAUAAAUUUUCGUUCAUUUGUUUUCUCAAGGGGUUAGAGACUUGAUGGAUUUUGUCGUUUUUGGUUCUGGGGUUGAGUGGUAAUGGUGGCUAGAGAUUUUUAGUUGUAUAAUAAUAAACAGGGUGAUUAUGGUGGAUAAAAUUGU